RNAcentral lists this ribosomal RNA (505 nucleotides) under uncultured bacterium. RNAcentral's name for it is "partial 16S ribosomal RNA". It matches the Rfam family "Bacterial small subunit ribosomal RNA", at positions 28 to 507 of the family's 1533-position model. The record is from RNAcentral.
GACGAACGCUGGCGGCGUGCCUAAUACAUGCAAGUCGAACGCACAGUUUAUACCGUAGCUUGCUACACCAUAGACUGUGAGUUGCGAACGGGUGAGUAACGCGUAGGUAACCUGCCUGGUAGCGGGGGAUAACUAUUGGAAACGAUAGCUAAUACCGCAUAAUAUUGAUUAUUGCAUGAUAAUUGAUUGAAAGAUGCUAUUGCAUCACUACAAGAUGGACCUGCGUUGUAUUAGCUAGUAGGUGAGGUAACGGCUCACCUAGGCGACGAUACAUAGCCGACCUGAGAGGGUGAUCGGCCACACUGGGACUGAGACACGGCCCAGACUCCUACGGGAGGCAGCAGUAGGGAAUCUUCGGCAAUGGACGAAAGUCUGACCGAGCAACGCCGCGUGAGUGAAGAAGGUUUUCGGAUCGUAAAGCUCUGUUGUAAGAGAAGAACGGGUGGGAGAGUGGAAAGUUCACACUGUGACGGUAUCUUACCAGAAAGGGACGGCUAACUACGUG